AAUUGCAAAGAAAGUGAUUUCUCUGUUCCGACAAAUAUAUAUUCACAACGUUUGAGAGCGAAACAUAGAGUAUUCCCUAGUCACAUAUGCCUGCAACGUGGAAUUAAGUGCAGUUUGGUUAAUUGUCGAUUACACUUUCAGGUACGGAGGCAAACUACAAAAUGCCAGGCCAUAUCUGUGCUUGACUGUGUAUCUGCGUCCAUACGCACACAAAGAGAGGCAUGCGGCAAGGAUGGCGUUUGAUGCACCACUGCAGCCACUAAUAGACUUCGUGGCAAAGAGCUAAGGGGCGUGCAUGUAUGUCUGUGUGGUGCAGAUACAGCUUCACUUUUGGCAGAAGGCUUUUAGACAUCAGAGCGAAAGGCUUCAUUAGUAGAGCUCGAUUUUCGUGAAAAUGGGUCAGCGUUGAGAGUGGCAAAAGAGAAAAAUAGAGAGAGACGGAGAAAGAAAGAGAGAUAUAGAGACAAAAAAGAGAGAGGUCAAAAAAGAUGAAAGAGAACUAAAUUUACCUUGAUAAUUUGUUAAGCCGUAGCAGAAGGGCCGAAUUUUGUUUUGUCUGUAUUCAGUUGUGGCGCAAGAUAAUAUUUGUGCAAUGAAAUUAAUUUGUUAGUUUAAUGAAAUAUCUUCAAGAUAUUUGCGGAACAAGGUAUCGAUGAUUUAACAAACAAAUAAAACGCGUACUGUGCGGACACUACGGGGACGUAUGUUCAUUUUAGGUCUUUAGCUCCUAGUAUAAAACGAUUUUGUUUAAAAGAAAAAUAAAUGUAUAUCAUUUAUAUAUUAGCUAAAACUACGUUUAAGCGAAUUUAUUAAAACUAAAUUCAUUAAAUUAAAAAUGUGUAGUACAUAAAUAAAAUAUGUCGACAUAAAUUAUUCUGUGUUUAUAGCUA
Non-coding RNA from Drosophila virilis, 890 nucleotides. Lineage: Eukaryota; Metazoa; Arthropoda; Insecta; Diptera; Drosophilidae. The record is from RefSeq and is a predicted model, not a curated record.